Molecule: long non-coding RNA, 201 nt
Filed under: Nicotiana benthamiana
Lineage: Eukaryota; Viridiplantae; Streptophyta; Magnoliopsida; Solanales; Solanaceae
Description: long non-coding RNA (NBEN_LNC017825)
Source: RNAcentral
UCCAACACAAUGGAUAUGAAGUGCAUUUCAGUAAUGAUAUAUGCACUAUAAGAGACAAGAGUAUGAAAAUUAUAGCCAAGGUAAGUAUGACCAAAAAAUCGGAUGUUUCCAGUAACUUUCAACUACGGUCACUUACCUUGCUAUAAUUCAAAUGCUCUUGAUGAUACUUGGUUAUGGCACAUGAGGUUUGGCCACUUUAAU